Molecule: long non-coding RNA, 218 nt
Filed under: Gallus gallus (chicken)
Lineage: Eukaryota; Metazoa; Chordata; Aves; Galliformes; Phasianidae
Source: RNAcentral
AUUCUUCAGUGCCUCUAGUCCAUUAAUCACUUGCUUAGUUUUGGCAAUGAUUUCAUCUUGAGUGAGCUUCUCCAACUUCUCUUCCUUUAGAUACACCAUUGUGGACAUGUUUUCAUACAUUCGCUCGGUGCUGCAGGCUCGGAUGUGCGCAGCGCUCGCUGAGGCGGCGGGGGCCGCGCAGCCCGGAGAGAGGAGGCGGCCGGAGGAGGAUGUCAGCG